RNAcentral lists this ribosomal RNA (414 nucleotides) under uncultured microorganism. Its description in RNAcentral is "bacterial SSU rRNA". It matches the Rfam family "Archaeal small subunit ribosomal RNA", at positions 459 to 872 of the family's 1478-position model. The record is from RNAcentral.
CAGCCGCCGCGGUAAUACCGGUGGCUCGAGUGGUGGCCGCUAUUAUUGGGUCUAAAGGGUCCGUAGCCGGCUUGAUAAGUUACCUGGGAAAUCCGGUGGCCUAACCAUCGGGCGGCCAGGUAAUACUAUCAGGCUCGGGACUAGGAGAGACCAGAGGUACUCAUGAGGUAGGAGUGAAAUCCUGUAAUCUUAUGAGGACCACCAGUGGUGAAGACGUCUGGUUAGAAUAGGUCCGACGGUGAGGGACGAAGGCUGGGGGCGCAAACCGGAUUAGAUACCCGGGUAGUCCCAGCAGUAAACGAUGCCAGCUAUGUGUUGCUGGAACCAUGGGUUCCAGCAGUGCCGAAGGGAAGCCGUGAAGCUGGCCACCUGGGAAGUACGGUCGCAAGGCUGAAACUUAAAGGAAUUGGCGGG